RNAcentral lists this ribosomal RNA (750 nucleotides) under Streptomyces cirratus. Its description in RNAcentral is "bacterial SSU rRNA". It matches the Rfam family "Bacterial small subunit ribosomal RNA", at positions 97 to 859 of the family's 1533-position model. The record is from RNAcentral. Lineage: Bacteria; Bacillati; Actinomycetota; Actinomycetes; Kitasatosporales; Streptomycetaceae.
GGCGAACGGGUGAGUAACACGUGGGCAAUCUGCCCUUCACUCUGGGACAAGCCCUGGAAACGGGGUCUAAUACCGGAUAAUACUCCUGCCUGCAUGGGUGGGGGUUGAAAGCUCCGGCGGUGAAGGAUGAGCCCGCGGCCUAUCAGCUUGUUGGUGGGGUAAUGGCCCACCAAGGCGACGACGGGUAGCCGGCCUGAGAGGGCGACCGGCCACACUGGGACUGAGACACGGCCCAGACUCCUACGGGAGGCAGCAGUGGGGAAUAUUGCACAAUGGGCGAAAGCCUGAUGCAGCGACGCCGCGUGAGGGAUGACGGCCUUCGGGUUGUAAACCUCUUUCAGCAGGGAAGAAGCGAAAGUGACGGUACCUGCAGAAGAAGCGCCGGCUAACUACGUGCCAGCAGCCGCGGUAAUACGUAGGGCGCAAGCGUUGUCCGGAAUUAUUGGGCGUAAAGAGCUCGUAGGCGGCUUGUCACGUCGGAUGUGAAAGCCCGAGGCUUAACCUCGGGUCUGCAUUCGAUACGGGCUAGCUAGAGUGUGGUAGGGGAGAUCGGAAUUCCUGGUGUAGCGGUGAAAUGCGCAGAUAUCAGGAGGAACACCGGUGGCGAAGGCGGAUCUCUGGGCCAUUACUGACGCUGAGGAGCGAAAGCGUGGGGAGCGAACAGGAUUAGAUACCCUGGUAGUCCACGCCGUAAACGUUGGGAACUAGGUGUUGGCGACAUUCCACGUCGUCGGUGCCGCAGCUAACGCA